AAAAGUGCUUACAGUGCAGGUAGCAGUCAACAUCUACUGCAGUGCAAGCACUUCUCGC
Molecule: microRNA precursor, 58 nt
Filed under: Callorhinchus milii (elephant shark)
Lineage: Eukaryota; Metazoa; Chordata; Chondrichthyes; Chimaeriformes; Callorhinchidae
Description: Cmi-Mir-17-P1c_pre stem-loop
Rfam family: mir-17 microRNA precursor family
About the family: This family represents the microRNA (miRNA) precursor mir-17, family, which includes mir-20, mir-91, and mir-103. miRNAs are transcribed as ~70nt precursors (modelled here) and subsequently processed by the Dicer enzyme to give a ~22nt product. In this case the mature sequence comes from the 3' arm of the precursor. The extents of the hairpin precursors are not generally known and are estimated based on hairpin prediction.
Source: RNAcentral